CAGCAGGUCAAAGACGAUGCACUCGGGCGUGUACUCAAAGUCGGUGACUGCUGAGAAGCGAACGUUCACGUCGAGCCCCGUCGACAGUUUGGGCAGCACCGCCAUGGCGUCGCUCAUGUUCUAAAAUGUUUCAGACAUGUCCCAUGCUAGCAAGCCACGUUAGCGAGUGAUGAUCCGGAUUGUGUGCGUGCGUCUGUGCGUACCUGUUGAAAAUUGAGCUCCAUCCCGUCCGUCUUUUGCCUGGGUGUGACUGACAGCACACACUCACCUGCACACGUACACAGCGGAUGUCAUGGAGGUGAUGAUGUCAUCAUGACAUCAUACCGAAGCAGCUUACCCAGGUGAGCCAUCAGGUCCUCUGUGGUCACAACUUCAGUCUGAGCGGGGAGCUUUGCCUAGCCGCGCAAACACACACACACACACACAAACGCGUGAAAGGCGUGUAUGCAGUGUUUUGGGGUGUGUACAGAAAAUGUGCUUGGUACCUUCCAGCGAAGGAAGAGUAUGUUCAUGAUGGCCAGCAGGGGGCAGGGUCCGUUGUCACUUUGAGUGAUGAUGGGCGUCUUUUUCUUUUUCCAGGUGAUCCACUUGACCAGGUAAUAAGCCGCCGAUGUGCCUGUCGCAGCUUUGGCGGGAGCAGCGCCUCCUUCGGACAGGAGAGCAAUUAUAGUCACAACUUGACUGUCUUUGUCGUAAUUGUCGCAAGCAAGUUGAUCUUCACCUGCCACCUCGUCGUCCUUCAGACUCGCCGCCUCAUUGGCCGGCGAGCAUCCCUCCACCCCCAACGCGGAGUAAGACGGUGGCAAAACGUCAUCCGGCUCCUGCAAGCUACCUGCGGCCGCCGUCGGCAUCCCCUCAGAGAGAUCCAGACUGGGAAGGGAGAAGGAUGCAGAGUCGCUGGACUCCCGUAGCUCGUCUGAGCUGUCAGCCGUCGCCACGGACGAACCCUCCACGGCCUCCGGCCCCGUACCUGCGGCCACGGCACACAAUGCACCAUGUGCAAACGUGACUGAAACGGGAUUACGAAUUUGGCAGAAUGAUGAAAGACUAAAAAAAUGGCUCAGACGUAACAAAACCUGGCUAACACAAUACAAACCAGAGUGAAACAUGA
Long non-coding RNA from Hippocampus zosterae (dwarf seahorse), 1111 nucleotides. RefSeq lists it as uncharacterized. Lineage: Eukaryota; Metazoa; Chordata; Actinopteri; Syngnathiformes; Syngnathidae. The record is from RefSeq and is a predicted model, not a curated record. The transcript has 2 exons.